CCUGGUUGAUCCUGCCAGUAGUCAUAUGCUUGUUUCAAGGACUAAGCCAUGCACGUCUCAGAGUAAACGGAGCACAGUAGGUCUGUGUACGGCUCAUUAUAUCAGCUACAAUCUGACCUGCGAAGUUGGAUGAUGUCCCAUCCCACCACACGGAUAACCUGUUGGAAUCCGGAGGCUAAGACGUGGAAGAGCAACUCUUCCUCCAUCUCAACACCGAAGGGAAACCGGAGGUGCGGAGGGCGGGCGUAUCCGACCGACACAAAAGCCAACGCCCAUCGGGCAGCGUGUAUUGAUGACUCAGGUCGGAGACGGCUAAAGGGCACCGCCUCGUGCUGGCCCGUCGCAGGUAGAAUUUCUGCCCUAUCAGCUUUCGAUGGUAGUGUCGUGGACUACCAUGGCGUUCACGGGUAACGGAGUAUUGGGGUACGAUUCCGGAGAGGUGGCCUGAGAGACGGCCGCCACAUCCAAGGAAGGCAGCAGGCGCGCAAAUUGCCCACUAUCAACACUGAUGAGGCAGCGACGAGAAAUAACAACUGCGUUCGGUCCUACGAUCAGCGCAGAUUGUAAUGGACGGUACCCAAACCCAUCGAUGAGUAUCAAUUGGAGGGCAAGUCUGGUGCCAGCAGCCGCGGUAAUUCCAGCUCCAAGAGCUAUACUAAUGUUGUUUCGGUUAAAAAGCCCGUAGUUGAACUGAGAGCCGAGGUUGCAUUGCGGCCCUUCCGGGUCGUUGACUGUCAGUUAUGCUGUCAGGCCAUCGGCCUGGUUGAGGAUUCAACCCAGUGCAUUAGACCUCGGUUCUUCGCAAGGGUGCUUCCAUCGAUCAUGGACGUGAGUGUGGGGAUCGAAGAUGAUCAGAUACCGUCGUAGUCCAUUACCGUAAACGAUGUCGCCCCGGCGGUGAGAGCUUUUACUUUUCUCAAGACUCUCCCAUCGUGGACCUUUCUAACGAAAAAUCAAAGGCUUCGGAUUCCGGGGGGAGUACACUCGCAAGGCUGAAACUUAAAGGAAUUGACGGAAUGACACCACCAGGCGUGGAGUAUGCGGCUUAAUUUGACUCAACACGAGGAAUUUUACCAGGUCAGGACAUCGUAAGGAUUGACAGAUUGAGAGCUCUUUCAUGAUCCGAUGAAUGGUGGUGCAUGGCCGUUACUGGUUGGUGUUGCGAAAUGUCUGCUUGAUUGCGUUAACGAACGAGAUCACCGCCUCUAAACACGUGCCGGCGCUCGCUGUAGGACAAUGGGGAGCCCUCGGGUUUUUGCCAGCGUUUGAGAGCCCGGAUCACUUCUUAGGGGGACUGCGGAUAAAAGUCCGCGGAAGAUGGUGCCAAUAGCAGGUCUGUGAUGCUCUUAAAUGUUAUGGGCCGCACGCGCACUACAAUGGUGCGGUAAACGAGUACCACUCUUUAUGAGACCUAACUCGAAGGAGAUGGGCAAUCUGCUGAACCCGCGUUGUGCUGGGGAUCGAUGAUUGCAAUUAUUUGCCAUGAACCAGGAAUGCCUAGUAGGCGCGACUCAUCAGGUCGCACCGAUUAUGUCCCUGCCAAUUGUACACACCGCCCGUCGUUGCUACCGAUGAUGUGGAGGUGGAGACGUUGGGAGAGGCAGGACCAUUAAUGUUCGUGGAAUUUAGUUCUGCUUCGAAUUCUCCGACACCUC
RNAcentral lists this ribosomal RNA (1655 nucleotides) under Ploeotiidae sp. RNAcentral describes it as "SSU rRNA". It matches the Rfam family "Eukaryotic small subunit ribosomal RNA". Lineage: Eukaryota; Euglenozoa; Ploeotarea; Ploeotiida; Ploeotiidae. The record is from RNAcentral.